Molecule: transfer RNA, 76 nt
Filed under: Acholeplasmataceae bacterium
Lineage: Bacteria; Bacillati; Mycoplasmatota; Mollicutes; Acholeplasmatales; Acholeplasmataceae
Description: tRNA-Pro
Rfam family: tRNA
About the family: Transfer RNA (tRNA) molecules are approximately 80 nucleotides in length. Their secondary structure includes four short double-helical elements and three loops (D, anti-codon, and T loops).
Source: RNAcentral
CGGGACGUGGCGCAGCUUGGUAGCGCACUUGCAUGGGGUGCAAGGGGUCGNNGUUCAAAUCUUGUCGUCCCGACCA